UUAACUCAUAUUUGUAUGGAGUUGGAACGUUUGCCGCUAGAGGCGCUGUUUCAACUGCAUACAAAUUUGAGUUA
This 74-nucleotide microRNA precursor is filed under the name Bombyx mori (domestic silkworm). RNAcentral's name for it is "mir-2807 microRNA precursor family". It matches the Rfam family "mir-2807 microRNA precursor family". The record is from Rfam by way of RNAcentral. Lineage: Eukaryota; Metazoa; Arthropoda; Insecta; Lepidoptera; Bombycidae.